GAUGAACGCUGGCGGCGUGCCUAAUACAUGCAAGUCGAGCGAACGCACGAGAAGCUUGCUCCUCUGACGGUAGCGGCGGACGGGUGAGUAACACGUGGGUAACCUCCCUCUUAGCCUGGGAUAACAUCGGGAAACCGGAGCUAAUACCGAAUAAUACUUUGAACCGCAAGGUUUAAUUGUGAAAGACGGUCUUGCUUCCACGUAUAGAUGGAACCGCGCUGCAUUAGCAAGUUGGUAAGGUAACGGCUUACCAAGGCAACGAUGCAUAGCGGACCGGGGAGGGGGGUCGGCCACCCUGGAACGGAGACACGGUCCAGACUCCUACGGGAGGACGCAGUGGGGAAGCGUCCGAAAUGGGCGAAAGCCUGACGGAGCACCGCCGCGUGAGUGAUGAAGGUCUUCGGAUCGUAAAACUCUGUUGUUGGGGAAGAAGAUAUGUGUAAGUGACUGUGCACAUCUUGACGGUACCUAAUCAGAAAGCCACGGCUAACUACGUG
This 497-nucleotide ribosomal RNA is filed under the name uncultured bacterium. RNAcentral describes it as "partial 16S ribosomal RNA". It matches the Rfam family "Bacterial small subunit ribosomal RNA", at positions 28 to 507 of the family's 1533-position model. The record is from RNAcentral.